CGGACCUAGCGGCGGACGGGUGAGUAAUGCUUAGGAAUCUGCCUAUUAGUGGGGGACAACAUCUCGAAAGGGAUGCUAAUACCGCAUACGUCCUACGGGAGAAAGCAGGGGAUCUUCGGACCUUGCGCUAAUAGAUGAGCCUAAGUCGGAUUAGCUAGUUGGUGGGGUAAAGGCCUACCAAGGCAACGAUCUGUAGCGGGUCUGAGAGGAUGAUCCGCCACACUGGGACUGAGACACGGCCCAGACUCCUACGGGAGGCAGCAGUGGGGAAUAUUGGACAAUGGGGGGAACCCUGAUCCAGCCAUGCCGCGUGUGUGAAGAAGGCCUUAUGGUUGUAAAGCACUUUAAGCGAGGAGGAGGCUACUUUAGUUAAUACCUAGAGAUAGUGGACGUUACUCGCAGAAUAAGCACCGGCUAACUCUGUGCCAGCAGCCGCGGUAAUACAGAGGGUGCGAGCGUUAAUCGGAUUUACUGGGCGUAAAGCGUGCGUAGGCGGCUUAUUAAGUCGGAUGUGAAAUCCCCGAGCUUAACUUGGGAAUUGCAUUCGAUACUGGUGAGCUAGAGUAUGGGAGAGGAUGGUAGAAUUCCAGGUGUAGCGGUGAAAUGCGUAGAGAUCUGGAGGAAUACCGAUGGCGAAGGCAGCCAUCUGGCCUAAUACUGACGCUGAGGUACGAAAGCAUGGGGAGCAAACAGGAUUAGAUACCCUGGUAGUCCAUGCCGUAGACGAUGUCUACUAGCCGUUGGGGCCUUUGAGGCUUUAGUGGCGCAGCUAACGCGAUAAGUAGACCGCCUGGGGAGUACGGUCGCAAGACUAAAACUCAAAUGAAUUGACGGGGGCCCGCACAAGCGGUGGAGCAUGUGGUUUAAUUCGAUGCAACGCGAAGAACCUUACCUGGCCUUGACAUACUAGAAACUUUCCAGAGAUGGAUUGGUGCCUUCGGGAAUCUAGAUACAGGUGCUGCAUGGCUGUCGUCAGCUCGUGUCGUGAGAUGUUGGGUUAAGUCCCGCAACGAGCGCAACCCUUUUCCUUACUUGCCAGCAUUUCGGAUGGGAACUUUAAGGAUACUGCCAGUGACAAACUGGAGGAAGGCGGGGACGACGUCAAGUCAUCAUGGCCCUUACGGCCAGGGCUACACACGUGCUACAAUGGUCGGUACAAAGGGUUGCUACACAGCGAUGUGAUGCUCAAUCUCAAAAAGCCGAUCGUAGUCCGGAUUGGAGUCUGCAACUCGACUCCA
Molecule: ribosomal RNA, 1238 nt
Filed under: Acinetobacter baumannii
Lineage: Bacteria; Pseudomonadati; Pseudomonadota; Gammaproteobacteria; Moraxellales; Moraxellaceae
Description: bacterial SSU rRNA
Rfam family: Bacterial small subunit ribosomal RNA
Source: RNAcentral